AGUGAACGCUGGCGGUAGGCCUAACACAUGCAAGUCGAACGGCAGCACAGUAAGAGCUUGCUCUUACGGGUGGCGAGUGGCGGACGGGUGAGGAAUACAUCGGAAUCUACUUUUUCGUGGGGGAUAACGUAGGGAAACUUACGCUAAUACCGCAUACGACCUACGGGUGAAAGCAGGGGAUCUUCGGACCUUGCGCGAUUGAAUGAGCCGAUGUCGGAUUAGCUAGUUGGCGGGGUAAAGGCCCACCAAGGCGACGAUCCGUAGCUGGUCUGAGAGGAUGAUCAGACACACUGGAACUGAGACACGGUACAGACUCCUACGGGAGGCAGCAGUGGGGAAUAUUGGACAAUGGGCGCAAGCCUGAUCCAGCCAUACCGCGUGGGUGAAGAAGGCCUUCGGGUUGUAAAGCCCUUUUGUUGGGAAAGAAAAGCAGCAGGUUAAUACCCCGCUGUUCUGACGGUACCCAAAGAAUAAGCACCGGCUAACUUCGUG
RNAcentral lists this ribosomal RNA (492 nucleotides) under uncultured bacterium. RNAcentral's name for it is "partial 16S ribosomal RNA". It matches the Rfam family "Bacterial small subunit ribosomal RNA", at positions 29 to 507 of the family's 1533-position model. The record is from RNAcentral.